RNAcentral lists this transfer RNA (71 nucleotides) under bacterium. Its description in RNAcentral is "tRNA-Gly". It matches the Rfam family "tRNA". Rfam says of the family: Transfer RNA (tRNA) molecules are approximately 80 nucleotides in length. Their secondary structure includes four short double-helical elements and three loops (D, anti-codon, and T loops). The record is from RNAcentral.
GCGGGUGUAACACAGUGGCAGUGUGCUUGCUUCCCAAGCAAGAUACGCGAGUUCGAUUCUCGUCACCCGCU